This 330-nucleotide long non-coding RNA is filed under the name Malus domestica (apple). Its description in RNAcentral is "long non-coding RNA (MDOM_LNC017307)". Lineage: Eukaryota; Viridiplantae; Streptophyta; Magnoliopsida; Rosales; Rosaceae. The record is from RNAcentral.
AGUGUGUCAUGUGUGGAGAAGAAACCUCUAGCUAGCUAAUCACCCAUAUUUCCCCCAAAUUCAUGUCUAAUCUGUUUAAGUUUUUAAUUUACUUGUCUUUACUUUAAAUUCGUCAAAAACCCAAUCCCUUUUACUUUGCUGUGUCAAGUUAGUUAGAAUCUGUCAAAUUUGUGUUCUUAAGUGUUUUUAAGCGUUUUGAGUCAAGUUAAAUUUAAUUUUCGUCCAAUUCACUCUCUAGUGUCUAGUUUAAGUCUAUUGAUUGUUUUGUGCUGUUUUGAGUCUUUUUAGUUUGUUUUGAGUUCUUUGAGUCGAGUUAAGUGUUUUCAAGCC